Molecule: long non-coding RNA, 1103 nt
Organism: Aptenodytes forsteri (emperor penguin)
Lineage: Eukaryota; Metazoa; Chordata; Aves; Sphenisciformes; Spheniscidae
Exons: 3
Source: RefSeq, a predicted model, not a curated record
CGUUUUUGAUUGAAGUGUUCCUAAACAAUUCAUCCUGAUUCUGAUGCCUGAAAUGGAAACUUCUGGCCCAGAAAGGAACAGCUUGGCAAUAGUGUGACUGGCAGAACAUUAUUUCCUAUAAUGGAAAACGAAUGGCAGCCUGAACUACAGAUACAUACUAUGAUGUCUUCUAUGUUCUCAUAAAUUGGGGAGUACAUCCCUGCAGCCUGCCGACCUCUGAAAGUAAAUGGGGUGUAUGCAGAUACACAGAAUUCCUUACAGGCUAAACCAUUUGGACUGUAAUCAGCAAGAUGCUGGAUGGUGCAGCCCUGAGGUACUAACCAAUCUAGCACCUGUGGGACUUUCAUGUACUCCAGUAGCAAACAGGAACCUCAAGAAACAUAAGCCAAGAAGCAACAAUUUCAAAUUGCAGUCCUGAUACAACAAUCCUUUCUAUAUUAUCUGUAGAACAUAAAUGGGUCUUCAUCGUGAUGCAAACUCCCUUUCAACUAGAAUCUGGGGAAGAUGAAUAAUCAGAGAUAAGAUUCAAGAUAACUUACAGAAACUGAUCUGGUUUAGAAUGUUGUACAAUGUGUACAAGUUACCACCAGUUUAAUCUGCGUAGCCUUUUGCCUGUAAAGUCAAAGCAUUUAGGCUCAUUUACACCAACUGUUCACAUUUCAGGAUCUGAGACAUUCAAAACAGCUCUUGACAUAACCUAGAAUAGCUUCUAUUUCUUUAUUUUUUUCUGCACAGUCACCUUUUUAAAGUUUUAAAGUCUGAUGUCUUGGGACCUCAUAAAGCUCAGAGCGAGUGCUCUGUGAGAGAGAUCCACUUCUCUUCUCCAACAGCACAACGUUCCUGUUUCUACUCCUGAGGAGGUGAGGUCUGUGAUAUGUCUGCUGCUCAUCUUUCCUCUCUUCUUUGGGUCAGCAGGUAGGAGCUGUCUGUGUUCAACAUUUGGAAUGAAGGAACAAAACAUUUGCCUGUCUGGCUGCAGCUUUUAAAACAGCUGUGGGAAGCUGCUCCCUAGAGCUUUGGAAUAUCAUACCCAUUGCUAAAAAAGGUGGAGUAGUGGGAGGAGAAAUAUACUGUGGGCAAUAAACUGUAAUAAGUGUGAUUUA